Sinocyclocheilus grahami is the source of this 530-nucleotide long non-coding RNA. RefSeq lists it as uncharacterized. The transcript is spliced from 3 exons. The record is from RefSeq and is a predicted model, not a curated record. NCBI's taxonomy places the organism in Eukaryota, Metazoa, Chordata, Actinopteri, Cypriniformes, Cyprinidae.
CGGAAAAGUCUAAUUUAAGAAAAGUCAUGUUAAAUUGCAAAGUAAAAAAGAAAUUAUAGUAUUUUAAACCUCACAUGGAAUAACAGUCAAUUUUAUUAUGGUUACUUUUCUUAAAUAAGACAUCCUUAAUGACGUAUGCACUGCACAUACUAUGCAGCCUUCAAAUGCGACCUCCUGAGCACGCAGCUAGUAGCCUACUGUGUGUGUGUCUACAGCUGUAUGUCUGCGUCCUUCACUCUCUCUCUCUCUCUCUCUCUGUUUCGCUGUAACGCUUUAUAUCGCGACAUUAAAUGUGUGAGGACACAAACACUGAAGACGAUGAAGAAGUAAAAGUCAAACUGACAGAGUGCGCGUUUGCUUCGAGUCAGGACCACUACACUGAAAACAGAAGAAAUGUUGGCUGCUUUCAGAGGACUUCCAAGGAUUUUGCUAAUAUUCAGUCUAGUACUGAACUCUACUUUAGGUGCUGACACUGGAUGUGAUGACUGGAUUCUUAAUGGAAACGAUGGUGUCUGCUGCAAGAAAUGCAA